CUGUGACCUGGGAGAGCAUCUUCUCCUCUCUGGCCGUGAUGGUAAGGAACAGCCCAUUCCUGAGAGCUUCCUCUGUUGGGCAUGUAAAGAUGAAAGGGAGAUCACCUCUUGCAAGGGGCAGGUUGAUAGCGGUGGAGAAAGGUGAGGUGGGAGUUGAUGGCUGAAAGGUAAGCUGAGGCUAAUGCCCAUAGGAGAGCAGCCCACUUGUAUUUGCUUAAAGCAAAAGGUGUAAGCCAAUGCCACGCUAGCCUGAAAACAAAAGCAGCCUUUUGGCCCAAGAGAGUGUACUGCGUCAGUUUCCUAGCUCUCCUGGACGUGAGGUUUCACGCCUCCAUUGCGGUGGGAGCUGUGAUGGGACUUGCAGUGUCUCUGGCUUCCCCAGAAUUACUUUCUGCAGGCUGGUUGGCAGGUCCUGGCAUUUGUGGAAAGCCAAGAACACGUCUGUGUCCAGUUUCCUCCCCGGCUCCUGCCUGUCAGAGACGUCUGUGACAGCUUUCUUUCUCCUCUAAGGAGGAGGCAUGCAGUAGCGCGGCUGGGCUUAGUGGAUGGGAUGUGACAGGAGCAGCGGCUGAAGCAGGACUUGAAUCAGGAGCUCAGCUAACCGCUGGCACUUGUUCCGUAGUCCCCCAGGUCCUGCAGAGCUGCGCUGAGUUCAUUGAGCAGCACGGCGUGGUGCAGGGGAUCUACCGCCUGUCCGGCGUGGCGUCCAAGAUCCAGAAGCUACGGUAAGAGUGCUGCGACUGACACAGCUGUCAGUAGGGGCACGUGCCAUGCUGCGGGCGUUCCGAGGCCUGCGCUGUGGGGCAGCUGUGUGCAGGCAGCGUGCGCUCAGCGGUGGUGCGCCAGGCUUGUGUCUGUUUGAUAGGAACACGGGGCGUUGAGUAGACUUGCUGGGGCAGGAAGUUCUCCUUCAGUCCUUGAGAGCAUUGGAAGGCUGUG
RNAcentral lists this long non-coding RNA (939 nucleotides) under Gallus gallus (chicken). RNAcentral's name for it is "lncRNA (ENSGALG00010019432.1)". Lineage: Eukaryota; Metazoa; Chordata; Aves; Galliformes; Phasianidae. The record is from RNAcentral.